UGGGGAAUAUUGCACAAUGGGCGAAAGCCUGAUGCAGCGACGCCGCGUGGGGGAUGAAGGCCUUCGGGUUGUAAACUCCUUUCGCUAGGGACGAAGAUGUAUUUUGACGGUACCUGGAGAAGAAGCACCGGCUAACUACGUGCCAGCAGCCGCGGUAAUACGUAGGGUGCGAGCGUUGUCCGGAAUUACUGGGCGUAAAGAGCUCGUAGGUGGUUUGUCACGUCGUCUGUGAAAUCCCGGGGCUUAACUUCGGGCGUGCAGGCGAUACGGGCAUAACUUGAGUGCUGUAGGGGAGACUGGAAUUCCUGGUGUAGCGGUGAAAUGCGCAGAUAUCAGGAGGAACACCAAUGGCGAAGGCAGGUCUCUGGGCAGUAACUGACGCUGAGGAGCGAAAGCAUGGGUAGCGAACAGG
Molecule: ribosomal RNA, 412 nt
Filed under: uncultured bacterium
Lineage: Bacteria
Also listed under: 2 other names
Description: bacterial SSU rRNA
Rfam family: Bacterial small subunit ribosomal RNA
Source: RNAcentral